UCUCAGCAUUCUAUAUUCAGCAUGAAUCCAAGUUGAAUUGGGCUCUGCCCACAAUCUCUCAGCAAAUGCUGCGGAUCUAGGCCAAAUUUUCGUAUCAGUUGAGGCGCUAUCGGCUUGUUCCGUCCAAAGAGCUGUUUCACCUCCUGUUACAACACAAAGAUAUGCCUAUACUAUAUAUGUAUAUAAUUGUUGUGUGACAUCACUAUGGCUAAAUUUUUCUCUUUAAUAAGCCACUUUCUUCUUAAAUGUACAAAAGAAGCCCAAUCGGACAUUAAGAGAGUUGUCAUAAACGAUCUGCCAUCCUUUGUAAGGAGAACACCAAUUAUUACCCUCGCCUACCCAAGCUGAGAAACUAAAAGAAAAAACAUAAGCAAAAUAGAAAGUGGAGGAUGCCAAAAUCUAAUAUUAAAUUGUUAAUUACGAGUAUAUUAAUAAUCUAUAAUACUACUAAUAAUAUAAUAA
Bombus pyrosoma is the source of this 462-nucleotide long non-coding RNA. RefSeq lists it as uncharacterized. The transcript has 2 exons. NCBI's taxonomy places the organism in Eukaryota, Metazoa, Arthropoda, Insecta, Hymenoptera, Apidae. The record is from RefSeq and is a predicted model, not a curated record.